CAGAGUUGCAAAACUCCCACAAACCAUCGCGAAUCUUACCCGUACGGUUGCCUCGGCGCUGGCGGUCCGGAAGGCCCUCGGGCCCCCCGGAUCCUCGGGUCUCCCGCUCGCGGGAGGCUGCCCGCCGGAGUGCCGAAACCAAACUUUUGAUAUUUUAUGUCUCUCUGAGUAAACUUUUAAAUAAGUCA
Molecule: unclassified non-coding RNA, 188 nt
Filed under: soil metagenome
Description: partial internal transcribed spacer 1
Source: RNAcentral